UACCCUCUUCCUCUUCCUCUUCCUCUUCCUCUUCCUCUUCCUCUUCCUCCGUUAUGGUGGGCAUUAACGAUCGACUGGGCAUUUCUUCUGUCGCCGAGCGACUCAUAACUGUUUCGAAAUUCUCUUCUGCUUUUCUAAAACUCUCGCAGAUUACAUAUAUACCUAAAGAUUGUCGUCCUCCGAUGCUUCUAUUGCUCAGCCAGUCUCAGCCGUCCGCCACUACUUCCUGAUGUUUUUGGGCAAAUACGGUCCGUGCAAGGGUCUGACCUUAACAACGGAGCAUCAACUUUCUCGACUUGUCGUCCGUUGACUCAGUGACCUAUCUCAAUGGGCGGCUGAGGAGAACUUUGUAUAAAAACUUGAACCAUAUUUGGUAACACGAACAACACUUUAAACACAAGAGCUCUUAGUAAUACCACCAACAAUUGGUCGCCUUCUACACAGUUUAUCUGUUGGCUUUCAACCAGAAAUUUGGGGAAGAUGAAGCAAUACAAAUGUUCCGAGUCAUCAUCAGCUUCAAAAUCCAAACUUAACAAACACAAAGCAGAGAGGUGGUUGUUCUUAGAGUGUUACUUCACUGUCACUGUAGAGGCUGUGAAGGAAAAGUGAAGAAAUGUCUAUCUAGGAUGCAAGCUGUCUCAUAAGAAGCUCAAGUCUGAUACAAGAAUGCAUAGUCGCUGGUCACAUUGGCAACUUCGUUCAGAUAUGACAACAACGAGAAGUUUGACGCAUAGUAGGUUGUCUGGUGGCUCCUCCUUUUAUGGGUGCGAGAGUAUGGGAUCACUGCUCCAGAAACUAAGAUAUGGACCGCCUGGUUUGAUAUAUGGUUGGAGAUAACUUCUCUUUGCUAUGGAUCAAAUUAGUCAAGCGUUUAGAAACAAGGUGAUUAUCCCUUGCGUUUUUAGCGUUCAGUUGGAGACACAGUUGGAGAUGCACUAAUAUGUACAACAGACCAUCCUUUCGACCAGAAACCCCAAGCUUCGGAAGUUCGACCAUCUCUAAACUCAUGCUAACACAAACUCAGAAUAUGUUGUUAGUCAAACACGGCUCAGACCUCAAGAACGCUGCUGCGUUUGGCUGUUGACAAUGGCUAUAGGGCUACAUUUGUUGUCUUUGUUUCCAAGAGAACGAAUAAAGUUGCAGCCAGAGGCGCACUUGAGAAGCGGAGGGUGUGAGCUUUCAAGCUGCCUUGCGGAUCUUGAUGGACAGCAGUACCUUAUUUGGCUAACGCCCUACAAUUCCACUCCCAGAAACCGGACCUUCACAGUGUCUGCAAUCAGUGAUGAUAUUGUUCCUAAUCCUCAUUCAGAGGGUGAAAGAAGCAUUAACCCUCCACUGCUUGAUCUCCAUCUAAGGAACCACCUGCUUCUCUACAUGCGAUCCGGUGAUGAGCCUCCAAACAUAGGGAAGUUGACCCACCAAUACCACUAAACUUUGGAGCCGAAGAGAAGAGCUGCAAACGCCCACGUGUGUUAUCCUAGCAAGUUCAGCAAACCGUUGUUCCCACUUAAAUUUCUUCCUUAUUUUACAAGCUCGGGAUACAGCUACAGAACAUUUCCUAUGUUUCAAGUUUUUUUUUCUUUGGUUACCUUCGAUCAAGCUUCCAGUGGGAGGAAUAGUAAUUUGGCAAAAUUAAUAAAGGGAACCCGUUGUAAUUUGUUACAACAAAAGUCUGGUUUAGUUCAAGCUUAAAUACAUUACUGAAGAUCAUAAAAUUCCUUCAAAGCAUAAACUAUGGUAACCAAAGUCGAAUCAUUGCGGGUUCAGUUAGGAUUCAGGUACGUUAUUGUUGUGUUGUAUAGUGUUGUGUAAUGUUUUAUGGUAUUUAUUUUGUUGUAAUUU
This is a long non-coding RNA of Raphanus sativus (radish), 1842 nucleotides long. RefSeq lists it as uncharacterized. The record is from RefSeq and is a predicted model, not a curated record. The transcript is spliced from 11 exons. Lineage: Eukaryota; Viridiplantae; Streptophyta; Magnoliopsida; Brassicales; Brassicaceae.